This 301-nucleotide small RNA is filed under the name uncultured bacterium. Its description in RNAcentral is "bacterial SSU rRNA". It matches the Rfam family "Bacterial small subunit ribosomal RNA", at positions 81 to 347 of the family's 1533-position model. The record is from RNAcentral.
UCCUUUCGGGGAUAGCGGCGGACGGGUGAGUAACACGUAGGCAACCUGCCUGCAAGACCGGGAUAACUAUCGGAAACGAUAGCUAAGACCGGAUAGCUGGUUUCCUUGCAUGAGGGAAUCAUGAAACACGGGGCAACCUGUGGCUUGCAGAUGGGCCUGCGGCGCAUUAGCUAGUUGGUGAGGUAACGGCGCAACAAGGCAACGAUGCGUAGCCGACCUGAGAGGGUGAUCGGCUACUCCCGGACUGAGGGACGGCCCAGACUCCANAUCAAUCUGNCUGGNAACUCGAGCCUCCGAAAAU